RNAcentral lists this small RNA (177 nucleotides) under Aminobacterium colombiense DSM 12261. Its description in RNAcentral is "6S RNA". The record is from RNAcentral. Lineage: Bacteria; Thermotogati; Synergistota; Synergistia; Synergistales; Aminobacteriaceae.
AUAACCCUGCGAUGUUCGUGUUCAUGCACUUAGUCUUGAGCCAACACUCGAUCUCAAGAGGGUUGAAGUUCGAGCCGGCAAAGGAGAUGGGUAACCAUCACCGAAGCUAAGGCACGACAAACCCUUAAUAAUUAGGACCGGGUCAAGACGACCAUGACACGGCAUUGCGGGGAGACA